UAGCUAGUUGGUGAGGUAAAGGCUUACCAAGGCGACGAUCUGUAGCGGGUCUGAGAGGAUGAUCCGCCACACUGGAGCUGAGGCACGGUCCAGACUCCUACGGGAGGCAGCAGUGGGGAAUUUUGGACAAUGGGGGCAACCCUGAUCCAGCCAUGCCGCGUGAGUGAAGAAGGCCUUCGGGUUGUAAAGCUCUUUCGGCCGGGAAGAAAUCGCAUGGGCCAAUACCCUGUGUGGAUGACGGUACCGGAAUAAGAAGCACCGGCUAACUACGUGCCAGCAGCCGCGGUAAUACGUAGGGUGCGAGCGUUAAUCGGAAUUACUGGGCGUAAAGCGUGCGCAGGCGGUUUUGUAAGACAGGCGUGAAAUCCCCGGGCUUAACCUGGGAACUGCGUUUGUGACUGCAAGGCUAGAGUACGGCAGAGGGGGGUGGAAUUCCACGUGUAGCAGUGAAAUGCGUAGAGAUGUGGAGGAACACCAAUGGCGAAGGCAGCCCCCUGGGUCGAUACUGACGCUCAUGCACGAAAGCGUGGGUAGCAAACAGGAUUAGAUACCCUGGUAGUCCACGCCCUAAACUAUGUCAACUAGGUGUUGGGUGGGUAAAACCAUUUAGUACCGUAGCUAACGCGUGAAGUUGACCGCCUGGGGAGUACGGCCGCAAGGUUAAAACUCAAAGGAAUUGACGGGGACCCGCACAAGCGGUGGAUGAUGUGGAUUAAUUCGAUGCAACGCGAAAAACCUUACCUACCCUUGACAUGCCAGGAACUUGCCAGAGAUGGCUUGGUGCCCGAAAGGGAGCCUGGACACAGGUGCUGCAUGGCUGUCGUCAGCUCGUGUCGUGAGAUGUUGGGUUAAGUCCCGCAACGAGCGCAACCCUUGUCGUUAAUUGCCAUCAUUUAGUUGGGCACUUUAACGAGACUGCCGGUGACAAACCGGAGGAAGGUGGGGAUGACGUCAAGUCCUCAUGGCCCUUAUGGGUAGGGCUUCACACGUCAUACAAUGGUCGGUACAAAGGGUUGCCAAGCCGCGAGGCGGAGCCAAUCCCAGAAAGCCGAUCGUAGUCCGGAUUGCAGGCUGCAACUCGCCUGCAUGAAGUCGGAAUCGCUAGUAAUCGUGGAUCAGCAUGUCACGGUGAAUACGUUCCCGGGUCUUGUACACACCGCCCGUCACACCAUGGGAGCGGGUUCCGCCAGAAGUAGGUAGCCUAACCGCAAGGGGGGCGCUUACCACGGCGGGGUUCGUGACUGGGGUGAAGUCGAAACAAGGUAGCCGUAGGGGAACCUGCGGCUG
This 1287-nucleotide ribosomal RNA is filed under the name metagenome. RNAcentral describes it as "bacterial SSU rRNA". It matches the Rfam family "Bacterial small subunit ribosomal RNA", at positions 242 to 1520 of the family's 1533-position model. The record is from RNAcentral.